Long non-coding RNA from Myotis brandtii (Brandt's bat), 1987 nucleotides. RefSeq lists it as uncharacterized. Lineage: Eukaryota; Metazoa; Chordata; Mammalia; Chiroptera; Vespertilionidae. The record is from RefSeq and is a predicted model, not a curated record. The transcript has 2 exons.
CUGGAAGUUAGAAAACAAUGGAACAAUGUCUUCAAAAAUCUUCAUUGUAUCCUCAACUCCAUGUCUAGCUAAAUGGUAGUAUUAGAAUAAAACAAGGAUAUUUUCAGAUAUGCAAAGACUAAAAACUAUUAUCUUCCUUAAGCUUUUUUCCAAGAUGUAUUUCUGAAGAAGUGCCACAAUGUGAGGGCGUAAACAAAGAAGGGAGGCAGGAGAUGUACGAGUUAGGUCAUUCAACAUAGGAGAGAGCCAAAAGAUGAUGAUGUUGAGGAAUUCCAGGAGAUGUUGCCAUAAAAAAAAGUACAUGGAACAUAUAGAUGACUUGAGUAUUUGAUCAUUCUGAGAAAUGGUCAGUCUAGAUAUAUGGAUUUAAUUGACCAAAGAAAUAGCUAAAAUAAUUGGAAAUUGCAGAGGUGACCAAGAUGGUGACAUAGGCUUCUGAGCUCCCCUCCUCCUACAGACACAUUGAAUGUAUAACUGCACACAAAGCAAUUCCUAAUGAAUGAUCCAGAAACUAGCUGAACAGCUCCUACACAUUGGGCAAAUGACAGAACACCCACCCACAUCAAAAUGCCUAGCAAAGGCUGAGACACUUGACAGAACCCCCUGCCACAGGGCCACACAAUCAGGAGCAGACCCCAAACGACCAGCUUUUCCCUGAGGUGCAAAGGGUUUGGACCUCAAAUCUAGCAUCUGGAUUUUGCCAACAUUUGUGAUACUUUUCCCAACUUCUAAGACUCUCUAAAUACCCAUUUCUGAAAGCCAAUGGGGAUUGUGUCUAUGAGACCUUUAAGAAUAUAGCAAAACAAAACCCAGUUAUUCACAAAUGCAUUGAGCACUCACCUCCCACCCCCAUCCAGUGAUUAGAGCAGAGGAAACAGGCCAAACCUCCCACAUAUUCUACUUGAGGAUGAGGUUUCUAACUUCAGCACACAUCUAGUGGCUGGCUGCAAUCCUCCCCAGAGACGGAAACAGCAAACACCUUUCCUGCCCUCUCUCUUCAGCCCACUCCAACAACAAAACCAAGUUACUAGUGUCUCCCUGGAAGGAAUUUUUACAAAUGGGUGGCACUCCAGCUUUUGUGGCUGCCGCCCAAGGGAUGGGCCCCCAGAUUACCUGGCACUUAGAGCCAAUGGGGCUUGUAUUCCUCAGCCCCCCAAUACUGUAUCAAAUGAAGCAGUUCUUAACAGGUGCAGGAGUAUUCCCUCCUCCCCACAGCUAUAUCUGGGCCCAGCAGAGAGGAAGCAGGCAAAAACACCCAUCUCCCAGUGUUUCCCUAGAAGGGGCUUAACUACAUAAUUGCCCAGCUGCUACCUGAGGGUCCAGUUUAUAAUCAGCCUGCAUCUACGUGCUGACUGCCAUUCUCAUUUUUGGGACACUGACAGGUUUUGGCACACCCUCAACUCCUGAAACCACUGACAGGUUUUGGCACACCCUCAACUCCUGAAGCCACUAGAAACAAGGAAGGUGGCUUGGACACUCUCAGAGGCUUGAGAGACAACUAGAAACUUGGCUGGAUUGAUCAAAGUGAUUCACUUUUAUAAUAAGAAUAGUCUAUCAAGACUAGGAGAGGUGGCUGUUUUAUCUCAUGUUUAGAGAUCACCAAAGAGAAUCAAAGAAAAUGAAGAAACAGGAAUAUGGUCCAAAAUCAAAACAAAACAAAACAAAAAAACAAAACCACAAGAAAAAUUUCCAGAAACAGAUCUUAAUGAAAUGAACAUAAGUUAUUUACCAGAUAGAAUGUUCAAAAUAACAAUUGUAAAGAUGUUUGCUAAGACCAGGAGAACAAUGCAUGAACAAAGUGAGAAUGUCAACAAAGAAAAUAGUAAAAAGUACAAAAUAGAAAACAUAUAGCUGAAGAAUACAAUAACUGAACUGAAAAAAAAAAUCAUUAGAGUUUAACAGCCAACUAAAUCAAGUAGAAGAAAGGAUCAGCAAACUUCACGGGGCACUGGAAUUUAUCCAAUCAAAGGAGUAAAAAGGAAAAAAA